CGUCAGAUGAACGCUGGCGGCAGGCUUAACACUUGCAAGUCGAGCGGAAACCGAUGGGAGCUUGCUCCCAGGCGUCGAGCGGCGGACGGGUGAGUAACACGUGGGAAUCUGCCCAUUAGUGGGGGAUAACUCGGGGAAACUCGAGCUAAUACCGCAUAAUCCCUACGGGGGAAAGCAGGGGAUCUUCGGACCUUGCGCUGAUGGAUGAGCCCGCGUCGGAUUAGCUUGUUGGUGGGGUAAUGGCCCACCAAGGCGACGAUCCGUAACUGGUCUGAGAGGAUGGCCAGUCACACCGGGACUGAGACACGGCCCGGACUCCUACGGGAGGCAGCAGUGGGGAAUCUUGGACAAUGGGCGCAAGCCUGAUCCAGCCAUGCCGCGUGUGUGAAGAAGGCCUUCGGGUUGUAAAGCACUUUCAGUAGGGAGGAAGGCUUUGGGCUAAUACCCUGGAGUACUUGACGUUACCUACAGAAGAAGCACCGGCUAAUUUCGUGCCAGCAGCCGCGGUAAUACGAAAGGUGCGAGCGUUAAUCGGAAUUACUGGGCGUAAAGCGCGCGUAGGCGGUGUGUUAAGUCGGAUGUGAAAGCCCAGGGCUCAACCUUGGAAUUGCUUCCGAUACUGGCACGCUAGAGUGCAGUAGAGGGAGGUGGAAUUUCCGGUGUAGCGGUGAAAUGCGUAGAGAUCGGAAGGAACACCAGUGGCGAAGGCGGCCUCCUGGACUGACACUGACGCUGAGGUGCGAAAGCGUGGGGAGCAAACAGGAUUAGAUACCCUGGUAGUCCACGCCGUAAACGAUGUCUACUAGCCGUUGGGGUCCUUAGUGACUUUGGUGGCGCAGCUAACGCGAUAAGUAGACCGCCUGGGGAGUACGGCCGCAAGGUUAAAACUCAAAUGAAUU
This 899-nucleotide ribosomal RNA is filed under the name Alcanivorax sp. RNAcentral's name for it is "bacterial SSU rRNA". It matches the Rfam family "Bacterial small subunit ribosomal RNA", at positions 22 to 911 of the family's 1533-position model. Lineage: Bacteria; Pseudomonadati; Pseudomonadota; Gammaproteobacteria; Oceanospirillales; Alcanivoracaceae. The record is from RNAcentral.